Molecule: ribosomal RNA, 253 nt
Filed under: uncultured bacterium
Lineage: Bacteria
Description: partial 16S ribosomal RNA
Rfam family: Bacterial small subunit ribosomal RNA
Source: RNAcentral
UACGGAGGGAGCUAGCGUUGUUCGGAAUUACUGGGCGUAAAGCGCACGUAGGCGGCUAUUCAAGUCGGGGGUGAAAUCCCAGAGCUCAACUCUGGAACUGCCUUCUAAACUGCAAGCCUGGAGGUCAGGAGAGGCGAGUGGAAUACCGAGUGUAGAGGUGAAAUUCGUAGAUAUUCGGUGGAACACCAGUGGCGAAGGCGACUCGCUGGACUGAUACUGACGCUGAGGUGCGAAAGCGUGGGGAGCAAACAGG